RNAcentral lists this ribosomal RNA (740 nucleotides) under uncultured bacterium. RNAcentral's name for it is "bacterial SSU rRNA". It matches the Rfam family "Bacterial small subunit ribosomal RNA", at positions 84 to 822 of the family's 1533-position model. The record is from RNAcentral.
AUGGGCGUCGACCGGCGCACGGGUGAGUAACGCGUAUCCAACCUGCCCACCACUUGGGGAUAACCUUGCGAAAGUAAGACUAAUACCCAAUGAUAUCUCUAGAAGACAUCUGAAAGAGAUUAAAGAUUUAUCGGUGAUGGAUGGGGAUGCGUCUGAUUAGCUUGUUGGCGGGGUAACGGCCCACCAAGGCGACGAUCAGUAGGGGUUCUGAGAGGAAGGUCCCCCACAUUGGAACUGAGACACGGUCCAAACUCCUACGGGAGGCAGCAGUGAGGAAUAUUGGUCAAUGGACGAGAGUCUGAACCAGCCAAGUAGCGUGCAGGAUGACGGCCCUAUGGGUUGUAAACUGCUUUUAUAAGGGAAUAAAGUGAGUCUCGUGAGACUUUUUGCAUGUACCUUAUGAAUAAGGACCGGCUAAUUCCGUGCCAGCAGCCGCGGUAAUACGGAAGGUCCGGGCGUUAUCCGGAUUUAUUGGGUUUAAAGGGAGCGUAGGCCGGAGAUUAAGCGUGUUGUGAAAUGUAGAUGCUCAACAUCUGCACUGCAGCGCGAACUGGUUUCCUUGAGUACGCACAAAGUGGGCGGAAUUCGUGGUGUAGCGGUGAAAUGCUUAGAUAUCACGAAGAACUCCGAUUGCGAAGGCAGCUCACUGGAGCGCAACUGACGCUGAAGCUCGAAAGUGCGGGUAUCGAACAGGAUUAGAUACCCUGGUAGUCCGCACGGUAAACGAUGGAUGCCCGCUG